Molecule: ribosomal RNA, 270 nt
Filed under: uncultured archaeon
Lineage: Archaea
Description: partial 16S ribosomal RNA
Rfam family: Archaeal small subunit ribosomal RNA
Source: RNAcentral
CAGCACCUCAAGUGGUCAGGAUGAUUAUUGGGCCUAAAGCAUCCGUAGCCGGCUCUGUAAGUUCUCGGUUAAAUCUGUACGCUCAACGUACAGGCUGCCGGGAAUACUGCAGAGCUAGGGAGUGGGAGAGGUAGGCGGUACUCGGUAGGAAGGGGUAAAAUCCUUUGAUCCAUUGAUGACCACCUGUGGCGAAGGCGGUCUACCAGAACACGUCCGACGGUGAGGGAUGAAAGCUGGGGGAGCAAACCGGAUUAGAUACCCGCGUAGUCC